This 497-nucleotide ribosomal RNA is filed under the name uncultured bacterium. RNAcentral's name for it is "partial 16S ribosomal RNA". It matches the Rfam family "Bacterial small subunit ribosomal RNA", at positions 28 to 507 of the family's 1533-position model. The record is from RNAcentral.
GAUGAACGCUGGCGGCGUGCCUAAUACAUGCAAGUCGAGCGAACAGACGAGGAGCUUGCUUCUCUGAUGUUAGCGGCGGACGGGUGAGUAACACGUGGAUAACCUACCUAUAAGACUGGGAUAACUUCGGGAAACCGGAGCUAAUACCGGAUAAUAUUUUGAACCGCAUGGUUCAAUAGUGAAAGACGGUCUUGCUGUCACUUAUAGAUGGAUCCGCGCUGCAUUAGCUAGUUGGUAAGGUAACGGCUUACCAAGGCAACGAUGCAUAGCCGACCUGAGAGGGUGAUCGGCCACACUGGAACUGAGACACGGUCCAGACUCCUACGGGAGGCAGCAGUAGGGAAUCUUCCGCAAUGGGCGAAAGCCUGACGGAGCAACGCCGCGUGAGUGAUGAAGGUCUUCGGAUCGUAAAACUCUGUUAUUAGGGAAGAACAGAUGUGUAAGUAACUGUGCACAUCUUGACGGUACCUAAUCAGAAAGCCACGGCUAACUACGUG